AAGGAGAUAGCUCAGUGGUAAAGCACUUGCUUAAAAUGCAUAAGGUCCUGGGUUCAAUUCCCAUCACCACA
RNAcentral lists this transfer RNA (71 nucleotides) under Ictidomys tridecemlineatus (thirteen-lined ground squirrel). Its description in RNAcentral is "Spermophilus tridecemlineatus (thirteen-lined ground squirrel) tRNA". It matches the Rfam family "tRNA". Rfam says of the family: Transfer RNA (tRNA) molecules are approximately 80 nucleotides in length. Their secondary structure includes four short double-helical elements and three loops (D, anti-codon, and T loops). Lineage: Eukaryota; Metazoa; Chordata; Mammalia; Rodentia; Sciuridae. The record is from Rfam by way of RNAcentral.